AGUGAACGCUGGCGGUAGGCCUAACACAUGCAAGUCGAACGGCAGCACAGGAGAGCUUGCUCUCUGGGUGGCGAGUGGCGGACGGGUGAGGAAUACAUCGGAAUCUACUCUGUCGUGGGGGAUAACGUAGGGAAACUUACGCUAAUACCGCAUACGACCUACGGGUGAAAGCAGGGGACCUUCGGGCCUUGCGCGAUUGAAUGAGCCGAUGUCGGAUUAGCUAUUUGGCGGGGUAAAGGCCCACCAAGGCGACGAUCCGUAGCUGGUCUGAGAGGAUGAUCAGCCACACUGGAACUGAGACACGGUCCAGACUCCUACGGGAGGCAGCAGUGGGGAAUAUUAGACAAUGGGCGCAAGCCUGAUCCAGCCAUACCGCGUGGGUGAAGAAGGCCUUCGGGUUGUAAAGCCCUUUUGUUGGGAAAGAAAUCCAGCUGGCUAAUACCCGGUUGGGAUGACGGUACCCAAAGAAUAAGCACCGGCUAACUUCGUGCCAGCAGCCGCAGUAA
Molecule: ribosomal RNA, 506 nt
Filed under: uncultured bacterium
Lineage: Bacteria
Description: partial 16S ribosomal RNA
Rfam family: Bacterial small subunit ribosomal RNA
Source: RNAcentral